This is a non-coding RNA of Pan troglodytes (chimpanzee), 117 nucleotides long. It matches the Rfam family "Metazoan signal recognition particle RNA". From Rfam's summary of the family: The signal recognition particle (SRP) is a universally conserved ribonucleoprotein. The record is from Rfam. Lineage: Eukaryota; Metazoa; Chordata; Mammalia; Primates; Hominidae.
GCCAGGCAUGGUGGCUCAUGCCUGAAAUCCCAGCACUUUGGGAGGCUGAGGCGGGUGGAUCACCUGAGGUCAGGAGUUCUGGACCAGCCUGGCCAAUGUGGUGAAACCCUGUCUCUA